UCAUCUUCAAAGCCCUCAUCGCACAAGAAGACUAGUUUCAGAAAGGCUCGGGCACUUAUUGGCAAGGAAAUGGACUCCGAGGCAGAAUCAUAAGAAUGUGAUGAAGAAGAGGGUUCUGAUGAAGACUCAGAAUCCGGACAGGCUAGUCUUGCACUGGCAACCACUUUCGUCAGCAAGUCAAUCUUCAAUCUUGAAGAAAAUAAUUGCACCAUCCACACUGAUGACUAUGCUGAUGACUUCGCUCCAACCUAUUGCUUCAUGGCAAAAGGUUC
Molecule: long non-coding RNA, 272 nt
Filed under: Hordeum vulgare
Lineage: Eukaryota; Viridiplantae; Streptophyta; Magnoliopsida; Poales; Poaceae
Description: long non-coding RNA (HVUL_LNC019356)
Source: RNAcentral